Molecule: long non-coding RNA, 3003 nt
Organism: Helicoverpa zea (corn earworm)
Lineage: Eukaryota; Metazoa; Arthropoda; Insecta; Lepidoptera; Noctuidae
Exons: 2
Source: RefSeq, a predicted model, not a curated record
UUUAAGUCCCAGCCGCGCGGAUCAUCAGGUUAAGCAACUUUUGGCCAGGUCCAUCCUUGAAUGGGUGACCAUGCACGAAGCUGGAGUAUCAACAUUUUAAGAUACCUGUAUGUGUAUUGUACCGACUCGAUGACUACGACUGCACUAUUUUUAGUGGUACAUAAGUGUUUUCUUUUGUAAAUAUACUUAAAUAGUAGAUGGAUUAAACAUAUUGUUUUUUUGGAUGGAUUUCUUGUUUUUCUUUUUUGCUGAAAUUUACCUUUAUAAAACUUUUUGCCACGAGACAUUCAAACUUAUAUUGCGUAUACAUAUAUGAGACUACAGUUAGUUAAAGCGGAAUAUCCAUUUAGGCUGUUUUAUAAAACGAGUUACUUAGGUACAAGUGGAUAGAUUGUGUUAAGAAACCUAAAGCUUUAAGCUACACGAAAUCGAAGAGAAUUAAAUAUUGAUAUAGAUAAUAUUUCUUUAGCUUAUCAGAUACCCAUUCCUAUUGACCAAAAUAAGUACAAAGACUGGAUGGAUCUUUGUAAGACGCUGGUAAUUCCUAAGGAGUAUCAUUUAAAAAAAAAGGAGUAUUUUAUUUAUUUAUUAUUUAACUUAUGUACAUAUAUAUUUUUAUUCCAGCUCAGUUGAUAACCAUGUUAAAAGGAAAUAAACUUGCUCUGUACCAAGGUUACACGUAUUACAAGAUGAAAAAGAAUAAAAAGUGGUAUUGCACGUCAUAUCCUAUAUGUGAUUGUUAUGUAGAACUAAACUCUGACAUGGUGGUUACAAAUAAAAAGGUGAAAUGAUCACUAUGUUCAAUGGCAAAAAACUUCUCUUGUACGAUGGUUACACAUUUUACAGAAGGAAAAAUCAGAAGAAAUGGUUUUGCACUAGUUCUCCAUGCAGAUCUUUUGUGAUCUUUAAUGAUAAGUUAUCAAUUCUUCAUUAUCUGCCGGAACAUCGUCAUGGCAGGAAGAGAUUGGUUGAAACACCUAAGGGAUAUGUUCGUGUAUAAAAACUACUUAACUACUAUAAAAAAACGACGUAUUUUUUAUGUGUGUGAAUUAAUAUAAUGAUGAUUGUACAAAGAAUAUGCUGGUCGCAGCAAGUACAAUUUAUCAUGACAAAUGUUAUUGUAAACAGUGCAAUGGGUUUUCUGUUUUUAUGAAAUAAAUAUUUUUAUUAUAUUUAUUAAUUUUCUAAUUAAAUACGUGUGUUUUUCUAGAUCAGUCAGGUUAAGGUAUCAUUUUGAAGACAUUACAAAGUAUUCCACUUACGGCACCAACAUUUUUAGCACCAGUACACACUUCCAGCACCGAUGGGUAUUUACAUUGGUGCCGAACAGAUUGAUGCUAGAAAUACUGUUGCUGUAACUGAAGUUUAAUCUGCUAUACGUUUUAUUUUUUAUUGCCUUUGCCAUCAAAAAUUCAAUACCUUACCCCCGCACUCCGACUUUUAAUGAUUACUUAAGUCACUCCUUAGUGACAGAUUCUCAUAGAAAUUCUGCACUAAGGAACGGCUUAAGUGACCAUUAAAUGUCUCUGAGCGUGUCCAUUAGUGGUACGCAAUUUUCAAAUUGACAGAAGUUCCUCACCCAAACUGGUUACUAAAUAUUCCGUAAUAUUUUGUGUUUUCAGCUCAAAUGAUCACAAUGAUUAAUGGCAAGAACCUGCUCUUGUAUGAUGGUUACACAUUUUACAAUAGGGGAAGUCAAAGGAAAUGGUACUGUACAAAUUUUCCCUGCAAAUCUUUUAUAAUCUUUAAUAAUAAUUUAUUAGUUCUUGAUUACCUGGCGGAACAUCGUCAUGGCAAGAAGAAAUUGGUUAAAACACCUAAGGGAUAUGUUCGUGUAUAAAAAUACGUAUUUUUUUCAAGGAGAAAGAUAAUUUGUGGAAGAUUAAAGAGCAAUCAGGGUUAAAUGCUAUAACCCUUAUUUUAUACCUACAAUGUACUUAUUUGAACUUGUGGUCACAUUAAGGCCUAUUGUCACAAUAAAAUAACAUAAAAAACAUUUGCAGAUUUUUUCUUUUAUCCUUCGUUAUUUAAAAAUUAAAAGACUACUGAGGUAUAAAGUAUUAUAUUACUCUAAAAAAUAUUUACGAUUACGAAAGGAGACUUCAUUUGGCCAACAUAUGUAAGUAUAUACACAUAUAGAUUAGAUUUUUUUUAACGAUGGCAAUGAAUGGCGAUGAAAUAAAUAUUUUUAUUAUAUUGUUAUAUUUAUUAAUUUUCUAAUUAAACACGUGUGUUUUUUUAGUUCAGUCAGGUAUAAUUUUGAAGACCUUACGAAGUAUUCCACUUACGGUACCAAAGUUUUUAGCACCAAUGCAUUACACUUCCAGCACCAAUGAGUAUUUACCAUUGGUGCCGAACAGAUUGAUGCUAGAAAUAUUGUUGCUGUAAGUGAAGUUUUUUAUUGCCUUUGCCAUCAAAAAUUCAAUACCUUACCCCCGCACUCCGACAUUUAAUGAUUACUUAAGUCACUCCUUAGUGGCAGAUUCUCAUAGAAAUUCUGCACUAAGGAACGGUUUAAGUGACUAUUUAAUGUCUCUGAGCGUGUCCAUUAGUGGUACGCAAUUUUCAAACUGACAGAAGUUCCUCACUCAAACUGGUUACUAAAUAUUCCGUAAUAUUUUGUGUUUUCAGCUCAAAUGAUCACAAUGAUUAAUGGCAAAAACCUGAUCUUGUAUGAUGGUUACACAUUUUACAAAAAAUCUCAAAGGAAAUGGUAUUGUACAAAUUUUCCUUGCAAAUCUUUUAUAAUUUUCGAUAAUGAGUUAUUAGUUCUUGAUUAUCUGGCGGAACAUCGUCAUGGCAGGAAGAGAUUGUUUAAAACACCUAAGGGAUAUGUUCGUGUAUAAGAAUACGUAUUUUUUUCCAAGGAGAAAGAUUAUUUUGUGGAAGAUUAAAGAGCAAUCAGGGUUAAAUGCUAUAACCCUUAUUUAUACCUACAAUGUACUUAUUUGAGCUUGUGGACCUAUUAAGGCCUAUUGUCACAAUAAAAUAACAUAAAAAACA